Molecule: ribosomal RNA, 418 nt
Filed under: uncultured bacterium
Lineage: Bacteria
Description: bacterial SSU rRNA
Rfam family: Bacterial small subunit ribosomal RNA
Source: RNAcentral
AAUGAACGCUGGCGGCGUGCUUAACACAUGCAAGUCGUGCGCGAAGGUGGCUUCGGCUGCCGGAGAGCGGCGAACGGGUGAGUAACACGUGGGUAAUCUACCUGGGAGCGGGGGAUAACCUGGGGAAACUCGGGCUAAUACCGCAUACGUUGACUGGGAUGCGUCCUGGUCAGGAAAACUGGCCUCUACUUGUAAGCUAGUGCUCUCAGAGGAGCCCGCGGCUGAUUAGCUAGUUGGUGAGGUAAUGGCUCACCAAGGCGACGAUCAGUAGCCGGCCUGAGAGGGUGAUCGGCCACACUGGGACUGAGACACGGCCCAGACUCCUACGGGAGGCAGCAGUGGGGAAUAUUGGACAAUGGGCGCAAGCCUGAUCCAGCAACGCCGCGUGGAGGAUGAAGGUCUUCGGAUUGUAAAGCAC